This 85-nucleotide small RNA is filed under the name Flavobacterium sp. 270. Its description in RNAcentral is "Flavo-1 RNA". It matches the Rfam family "Flavo-1 RNA". Lineage: Bacteria; Pseudomonadati; Bacteroidota; Flavobacteriia; Flavobacteriales; Flavobacteriaceae. The record is from RNAcentral.
ACUUAGAAAGCGUUAGGGAUAGAAGCGAUAUCCUUUUUAUUUUUCCUUUAAAAAUAAAAAGAUAUAGCGGAUAGCCCGGCCGGAG